This 2016-nucleotide unclassified non-coding RNA is filed under the name Harpegnathos saltator (Jerdon's jumping ant). RNAcentral's name for it is "cytosolic purine 5'-nucleotidase, transcript variant X10". The record is from RNAcentral. Lineage: Eukaryota; Metazoa; Arthropoda; Insecta; Hymenoptera; Formicidae.
AUUUUACGCAAUACCGAUGACCGACGUAAUUGCUCCCCGUCACGGGUACGGUCACGGCGAGGCGCACGGUCACGUCCGUUCGCAGGAGUCGGCGCGCGAUCGUCUCCGUCCGUCGACGAGCGAGCAGCGAGCACGAUGAUGAGCGGCGCGUACGUGUGGAGAUUCGCAAAAAUCGCCAGGCACGGGCUUUUACCUCCUCCUACCCCCCUCGCUAUUACCACUCCGCGGAUCCCGGCGCUCUGCCGACAACGAACCGACGGCUCGCGCCACCACCGAACAGCGCUACGGACGAAUUCAACGUCCACCGUUGUAACCGCCGUUGCCACUAUCACCACCACCGCAGCCGUAACUGGCAACAACACCGACGACAACGACGACGACGACGUCGUUUUCACGGGUCACAGUGCUCCGUAUGUUAUCCGUGCAUCGAUUAUUCGACAGCUGAUCAUGGAGCUUGAGAAUUGCAACGCGCAUGGAGACCAGGAGAACACGGGACCCAACACGCCGCAGCACGACAAUGACCCGAGUGGCAACAAAAAGUGGUACCGCCAGGCCAGUCAAAGAAUCUUCGUCAAUCGGAGUCUCCAUUUGGAGAACAUCAAGUUCUAUGGCUUCGAUAUGGAUUACACGUUGGCGGAGUAUAAAUCGCCGCAGUAUGAACAAUUGGGUUUUACGCUGCUCAAGGAUCGGCUGGUGUCUUUGGGAUAUCCGCAGGAAAUCAAGGCCUUUGAAUAUGAUCCUAGUUUUCCCGUUCGUGGAUUGUGGUUCGACACUCUGUACGGGAAUCUCUUGAAAGUAGACGCGUACGGGAACAUCCUGGUUUGCGUUCAUGGCUUUGAAUUCUUGAAACACUCUCAGGUCUACGAGCUCUAUCCGAACAAGUUUCUACAAUUAGACGAAUCUAGAGUCUACGUGCUCAACACAUUGUUCAACCUGCCGGAAACGUAUCUGCUGGCGUGUCUGAUAGAUUUUUUCACAAACUCGCCGCAGUUCACUAGAGAGAAGACCGGAGUGAAAGAAGGUGAGCUCACCAUGAGCUUCAGGAGUAUAUUUCAAGACGUUAGGAGCGCGGUAGACUGGAUACACCUUCACGGUGACCUGAAAACGAAAACUAUCGAGAACUUGGACGAAUACGUGAAGAAGGACGAGAGGUUGCCUAUGUUCCUUACGAGAAUCCGGGAGAGCGGAGCGAAGGUGUUUCUAUUAACUAACAGUGAUUACGUUUUCACGGACAAAAUUAUGACUUACUUGUUCGAUUUUCCACAUGGCGCACGGCCUGACGAGCCGCAUAGGAACUGGAAAACGUACUUCGAUACGAUUGUAGUAGACGCCAGAAAGCCAUUAUUCUUUGGAGAAGGGACGAUCUUGCGACAGGUGGACACGAGAACGGGUGCUCUGAAACUUGGCACGCACAAGGGGCCGCUGCAUACAGGGGAGGUGUACUCGGGAGGCUCAUGUGAUGUGUUCACCGAAUUAAUCGGCGCCAAGGGGAAAGAUGUGUUAUACGUCGGCGAUCAUAUAUUUGGCGAUAUCUUAAAGAGCAAGAAGAUAAGAGGCUGGAGGACCUUCUUAAUAGUUCCCGAAUUGGUUCAGGAGUUACACGUUUGGACAGAUAAAUGUCAAUUGUUCGCUGAAUUGCAGAGUCUAGAUGUUAUGCUCGGAGAAAUGUACAAAAAUUUAGAUAGCAGCACAAAGGAGAAACCAGACAUUUCCAAGUUACGCACGUCCAUAAGGGAUGUCACACAUAAAAUGGACUUGGCGUAUGGAAUGAUGGGUUCUCUGUUCCGCAGCGGAAGUAGGCAAACGUUCUUCAGCAGUCAGGUCGUAAGAUGCCCCACGAAAGUACAGUAGCUCAUGAGCAGAGGUUUGUCAUGGAAACACCGAUGAUCAGUCGUUCUCGGACAUUCAAAUUGACAGAUGAGGAAGAAGAACACAAUCGACCUACCUCUACUUUAUUCGUGGACCAUUAUAACAGUCAAAUUCCACACGCCAGACCGGAAACGCCACGUAACGUCA